RNAcentral lists this ribosomal RNA (497 nucleotides) under uncultured bacterium. Its description in RNAcentral is "partial 16S ribosomal RNA". It matches the Rfam family "Bacterial small subunit ribosomal RNA", at positions 28 to 507 of the family's 1533-position model. The record is from RNAcentral.
GACGAACGCUGGCGGCGUGCUUAAUACAUGCAAGUCGAGCGGUGAGGCUUGGUUCUUGCGCCGAUUUGAAGAGCAGCGCACGGGUGAGUCACGCGUGUGGACUCUGCCUUUGAGCGGGGGACCACAUUGAGAAACGAGUGCUAAUACCGCAUAACAACUUUAAACAUAAUGUUUGAGUGUGAAAGAUGCAGUUGCAUCACUCAAUGAUGAUCCCUCGUUGUAUUGGCUAGUUGGUGAGGUAAAGGCUCACCAAGGCGAGGAUACAUAGCCGACCUGAGAGGGUGAGCGGCCGCAUUGGGACGGAGACACGCCCCAUACUGCUACGGAAGGCAGCAGUAGGGAAUCUGGGGCAAUGGGCGAGAGUCUGACCGAGAAGGGCGGAGUGAGUGAAGAAGGUCUCCGCGUGGGAGAUCUCUGUCGUUGGAGAAGAACGUUGGUGAGAGUGGAACGAACAGUAAGUGACGGUAACGGGCAAGAAAGCGACGGCUAACUACGUG